Molecule: ribosomal RNA, 500 nt
Filed under: Nocardia otitidiscaviarum
Lineage: Bacteria; Bacillati; Actinomycetota; Actinomycetes; Mycobacteriales; Nocardiaceae
Description: bacterial SSU rRNA
Rfam family: Bacterial small subunit ribosomal RNA
Source: RNAcentral
UGGAGAGUUUGAUCCUGGCUCAGGACGAACGCUGGCGGCGUGCUUAACACAUGCAAGUCGAGCGGUAAGGCCCUUCGGGGUACACGAGCGGCGAACGGGUGAGUAACACGUGGGUGAUCUGCCUCGCACUCUGGGAUAAGCCUGGGAAACUGGGUCUAAUACCGGAUAUGACCARGGRCUGCAUGRUYUYUGGUGGAAAGAUUUAUCGGUGCGAGAUGGGCCCGCGGCCUAUCAGCUUGUUGGUGGGGUAACGGCCUACCAAGGCGACGACGGGUAGCCGGCCUGAGAGGGUGAUCGGCCACACUGGGACUGAGACACGGCCCAGACUCCUACGGGAGGCAGCAGUGGGGAAUAUUGCACAAUGGGCGGAAGCCUGAUGCAGCGACGCCGCGUGAGGGAUGACGGCCUUCGGGUUGUAAACCUCUUUCGACAGGGACGAAGCGUAAGUGACGGUACCUGUAGAAGAAGCACCGGCUAACUACGUGCCAGCAGCCGCGGUA